AAAUUGAAGAGUUUGAUCAUGGCUCAGAUUGAACGCUGGCGGCAGGCCUAACACAUGCAAGUCGAACGGUAACAGGAAGAAGCUUGCUUCUUUGCUGACGAGUGGCGGACGGGUGAGUAAUGUCUGGGAAACUGCCUGAUGGAGGGGGAUAACUACUGGAAACGGUAGCUAAUACCGCAUAACGUCGCAAGACCAAAGAGGGGGACCUUCGGGCCUCUUGCCAUCGGAUGUGCCCAGAUGGGAUUAGCUAGUAGGUGGGGUAACGGCUCACCUAGGCGACGAUCCCUAGCUGGUCUGAGAGGAUGACCAGCCACACUGGAACUGAGACACGGUCCAGACUCCUACGGGAGGCAGCAGUGGGGAA
This 364-nucleotide ribosomal RNA is filed under the name Escherichia coli. RNAcentral's name for it is "bacterial SSU rRNA". It matches the Rfam family "Bacterial small subunit ribosomal RNA", at positions 1 to 361 of the family's 1533-position model. Lineage: Bacteria; Pseudomonadati; Pseudomonadota; Gammaproteobacteria; Enterobacterales; Enterobacteriaceae. The record is from RNAcentral.